This 330-nucleotide unclassified non-coding RNA is filed under the name soil metagenome. RNAcentral describes it as "partial contains 5.8S ribosomal RNA, internal transcribed spacer 2, and large subunit ribosomal RNA". The stretch from base 1 to 120 matches the Rfam family "5.8S ribosomal RNA", at positions 35 to 154 of the family's 154-position model. The record is from RNAcentral.
GAUGAAGAACGCAGCGAAAUGCGAUAAGUAAUGUGAAUUGCAGAAUUCAGUGAAUCAUCGAAUCUUUGAACGCACAUUGCGCCCCCUGGUAUUCCUGGGGGCAUGCCUGUUCGAGCGUCAUUUCACCACUCAAGCCUCGCUUGGUAUUGGGCAACGCGGUCCGCCGCGUGCCUCAAAUCGACCGGCUGGGUCUUCUGUCCCCUAAGCGUUGUGGAAACUUUCGCUAAAGGGUGUUCGGGAGGCUACGCCGUACAACAACCCCAUUUCUAAGGUUGACCUCGGAUCAGGUAGGGAUACCCGCUGAACUUAAGCAUAUCAAUAAGCGGAGGA